Molecule: ribosomal RNA, 497 nt
Filed under: uncultured bacterium
Lineage: Bacteria
Description: partial 16S ribosomal RNA
Rfam family: Bacterial small subunit ribosomal RNA
Source: RNAcentral
GACGAACGCUGGCGGCGUGCCUAAUACAUGCAAGUAGAACGCUGAAGAGAGGAGCUUGCUCUGCUUUGAUGAGUUGCGAACGGGAGAGUAACGCGUAUGUAAUCUGCCUUGUAGCGGGGGAUAACUAUUGGAAACGAUAGCUAAUACCGCAUGACAAUGGGUGACACAUGUGAUGUAUGUGAAAGUGGCAGUUUCUCCACUACAUGAUGGAUCUGCGUUGUAUUAGCUAGUAGGUGAGGUAAUGGCUCACCUAGGCGAGGAUACAUAGCCGAACUGAGAGGGUGAUCGGCCAGCCUGGGACGGAGACACGGCCCAGACUCCUACGGGAGGCAGCAGUAGGGAAUCUUCGGCAAUGGGGGCAACCCUGACCGAGCAACGCCGCGUGAGUGAAGAAGGUUUUCGGAUCGUAAAGCUCUGUUGUAAGUCAAGAACGGGUGUGAGCGUGGAAAGUUCACACUGUGACGGUAGCUUACAAGAAAGAGACGGCUAACUACGUG